This 884-nucleotide ribosomal RNA is filed under the name uncultured eukaryote. RNAcentral describes it as "SSU rRNA". It matches the Rfam family "Eukaryotic small subunit ribosomal RNA", at positions 562 to 1471 of the family's 1831-position model. The record is from RNAcentral.
UUGUGCCAGCAGCCGCGGUAAUUCCAGCUCCAAUAGCGUAUAUUAAAGUUGUUGCGGUAAAAAAGCUCGUAGUUGGAUUUCUGUUGAAGACGUCCGGUCCAUACCACGUAUGCGCAUCUGGCUCGGCUUCGGCAUCCUCUCGAAAGACGUUUCUGCGCUUGAUUGCGUGGAGCGGAUCUCGGGACUUUUACUUUGAGGAAAUUAGAGUGUUCACGGCAGGCUAUCGCCAGAAUACAUUAGCAUGGAAUAAUACUAUAGGAUCUCGGUUCUAUUUUGUUGGUUUCUAGAAUUGAGAUAAUGAUUAAUAGGGACAAUUGGGGGCAUUCGUAUCAACACGUUAGAGGUGAAAUUCUUGGAUCGUGUUGCGACGAACUACUGCGAAAGCAUUUGCCAAGGAUGUUUCCAUUGAUCAAGAACGAAAGUAAGGGGAUCGAAGACGACUAGAUACCGUCGUAGUCUUUACCGUAAACUAUGCCAACUAGAGAUGGGACAUCGUUCACUUAAGACUUGUUCCGCACCUUAUGAGAUGUCAAAGUCUUUGGGUUCCGGGGGGAGUAUGGUCGCAAGUCUGAAACUUAAAGGAAUUGACGGAAGGGCACCACCAGGAGUGGAGCCUGCGGCUUAAUUUGACUCAACACGGGGAAACUCACCAGGUCCAGACAUAAUAAGGAUUGACAGAUUGAUAGCUCUUUCUUGAUUUUAUGGGUGGUGGUGCAUGGCCGUUCUUAGUUCGUGGAGUGAUUUGUCUGCUUAAUUGCGUUAACGAACGAGACCUUAACCUGCUAAAUAGGAGCGCCUAUCUCCGGAUAAGCGCCUUUCUUCUUAGAGGGACUUUAUGCGUUUCAGCAUGAGGAAGUUUGAGGCUAAAACAGGUCUGUGAUGCC